GAUGAACGCUGGCGGCGUGCUUAACACAUGCAAGUCGAACGAAGCACUUUAUUUGAUUUCCUUCGGGACUGAUUAUUUUGUGACUGAGUGGCGGACGGGUGAGUAACGCGUGGGUAACCUGCCUUGUACAGGGGGAUAACAGUUGGAAACGGCUGCUAAUACCGCAUAAGCGCACGGCAUCGCAUGAUGCAGUGUGAAAAACUCCGGUGGUAUAAGAUGGACCCGCGUUGGAUUAGCUAGUUGGUGAGGUAACGGCCCACCAAGGCGACGAUCCAUAGCCGACCUGAGAGGGUGACCGGCCACAUUGGAACUGAGACACGGCCCAAACUCCUACGGGAGGCAGCAGUGGGGAAUAUUGCACAAUGGGCGAAAGCCUGAUGCAGCGACGCCGCGUGAGCGAAGAAGUAUUUCGGUAUGUAAAGCUCUAUCAGCAGGGAAGAUAAUGACGGUACCUGACUAAGAAGCACCGGCUAAAUACGUG
Molecule: ribosomal RNA, 481 nt
Filed under: uncultured bacterium
Lineage: Bacteria
Description: partial 16S ribosomal RNA
Rfam family: Bacterial small subunit ribosomal RNA
Source: RNAcentral